RNAcentral lists this long non-coding RNA (283 nucleotides) under Bos taurus (domestic cattle). RNAcentral describes it as "long non-coding RNA NONBTAT025200". Lineage: Eukaryota; Metazoa; Chordata; Mammalia; Artiodactyla; Bovidae. The record is from RNAcentral.
AUUGGAAUAUUUGUUUAAAAUAUUAAGUUAGUUUCUAGUGCACGUUUUAGCUGCAUUUUUUAUUUUUCAUGAAAUCUAUAAAAGAAAUUCCACCAACUAGUACCAUAGUAAAUCAAAACUACUGUUAAUAGCCAGUGUAAGCAUAUUUUGUUUGUUCAAAUCAUUGUAUUUUAAUUAUGACAUCUUCCUCUGGAAAAUAAGUUGCAAAUCCCAUUUUAAUAUGAAUAUCCAUAAUUAUUGUUUCAAUAGUUAUGAAAUAAUUAUAAAUUUGGUAUGAACAAAA